This 73-nucleotide transfer RNA is filed under the name Schistosoma mansoni. It matches the Rfam family "tRNA". Rfam says of the family: Transfer RNA (tRNA) molecules are approximately 80 nucleotides in length. Their secondary structure includes four short double-helical elements and three loops (D, anti-codon, and T loops). The record is from Rfam by way of RNAcentral. Lineage: Eukaryota; Metazoa; Platyhelminthes; Trematoda; Strigeidida; Schistosomatidae.
GCCGGAGUAGCUCAGUUGGGAGAGCGUUAGACUGAAGAUCUAAAUGUCCCCGGUUCCAUCCCGGGUUCCGGCA